RNAcentral lists this small nuclear RNA (101 nucleotides) under Nannospalax galili (Upper Galilee mountains blind mole rat). Lineage: Eukaryota; Metazoa; Chordata; Mammalia; Rodentia; Spalacidae. The record is from RNAcentral.
GUACUUUUUCAGCAACACACAAAUUACGCUAGAAUGAUACAGAGAUGAUUGGCAUGGCUCCUAUCCAAGGAUGACAUAUUCAUAAAAAUUUCCAUCUUUUA